RNAcentral lists this long non-coding RNA (1426 nucleotides) under Phoenix dactylifera (date palm). Its description in RNAcentral is "long non-coding RNA (PDAC_LNC000841)". The record is from RNAcentral. Lineage: Eukaryota; Viridiplantae; Streptophyta; Magnoliopsida; Arecales; Arecaceae.
AUACCUGACUCAGAUUUUUUUGAAGCUGGAUAUAAGUGUCCAGGUAAUACAGUUGCGAUCAUAUUUCUUGAAGAUUAAGAAAACGAACAGCAUUCUAGAGAACCAAUUUGGCUAAUGCCAGGAUGGUCAAAAAUAGAAGCCAUUUCUUUCCUAGGCAAUUGGUGGGUGAUGAAGAGGAGAGAUAAUCCACACAUUGUUUUACUGGUUUGGAAGCAGCUUAAAAAAUGUACUACGAAAUGCAACUUGUUGGACAUUGAGAAGCAAAAAUUGUGCUUAAAAAUUUAAUUAAAAUUUAUCAAAUAUAGAUUAAGUAUUUAUUGUGAAAAAUAGAUUUCUAGUCAUUGUUGUUCUAAAGCAAUGAUGAUACUUAGUAUCUGUUAACACUUUUUAUUGAUGAACUUAUUGUUGAUGUAGGAGGUACCGUGGCAUAUGCAGCUUCUGAAUAUCAAAAUGCUACUUAAAUAGAUGAAAAUCUACCAUAUUAUAAUGGGAACUGCUGGAGUUGGCCAUGUGAGGUUGGACUCCAAAAGUGAAGCCCUGUGGGAUCCAUAUUGUAAAUACACGUGGUUCCAUAAAUAUGAUAUUUUUCCUUCUUUGAAAAAAAUGCCCAUCUCUCUCUCUUAACUAUGAUGCAGUAUCUUUUUCUUCUUUUAGAUAAUCUAAGUGAACCCCAUCUCUCUUGCAGUCUCAAAUUCAUUCUCUCCCUAUCUUCCCCCAUUUUCCUACUUUUCUUAAUGCACACCCAAAGUACUGGUAGGGUUGAAGGCUAAAGUGGAACAUGGAGGCAAAGCUUCCUCGGAUCAUGGCUUAAAUUUAAUAGGAUCAAAAUAUAAUAAAAUACAUGCAAGCGAAAAUGAAAACUACAUAUUAGUGUAUAGUCGAUAUAUCUUGCCGAAGACAAUAUAAUUUUUUCUUUCUUUUUUUUAAAAAUAAGUAAUACAAAGUGAUGGAUAGAGAUAAUUUGAUAAGCUUUGGGUUCUGAUAAAGUUAAGAGAUGCUUUUAUAGUGUUUCAUAAGUGAUGCAUCUUUAGGGCACUUUGGCAAUAAAUAUUGCUUGCUCUCAUACAAAUAUCGGAGUAGAAGUAGAAUGAUGCUUUCUACUGUAACUAAAUGAGAUGGGGCAUUUUGAUAGUGUCCUCUAGUUGCAACUACUUUGUUCUGUAAAGGUCUAGUUGGGUCGAUGUACAUGCAACAAAAUCUGAGUUUGCUGAAUUUGAAAAUUAGGUGGCCCUAAAAUUGAGCACUAGUAGCAAGAAUUUUAAGUAUUGAUGCAUAUCGGGGCAUAAUGGCUGUAGCAUAUCGGCCGGUAAAGUACUGGUAGCUUGCCUCUCCAUAUGGUACUGUAUGCACAUAUGGUAUACACCUUGUCACUGCGGUGCUAGCGCUAAUAGAUGUGUCAUGUGCAUUAUGACAUCAUUCUGGUANN